UACAGAGGUCUCAAGCGUUGUUCGGAUUCAUUGGGCGUAAAGGGCGCGUAGGCGGUCGUGACAAGUCACUUGUGAAAUCUCCGGGCUUAACUCGGAACGGUCAAGUGAUACUGUCGGACUAGAGUACAGAAGGGGCAACUGGAAUUCUCGGUGUAGCGGUGAAAUGCGUAGAUAUCGAGAGGAACACCUGCGGCGAAGGCGGGUUGCUGGGCUGAUACUGACGCUGAGGCGACGAAAGCCAGGGGAGCGAACGGG
Molecule: ribosomal RNA, 255 nt
Filed under: uncultured bacterium
Lineage: Bacteria
Description: partial 16S ribosomal RNA
Rfam family: Bacterial small subunit ribosomal RNA
Source: RNAcentral